Molecule: long non-coding RNA, 1397 nt
Organism: Prunus dulcis (almond)
Lineage: Eukaryota; Viridiplantae; Streptophyta; Magnoliopsida; Rosales; Rosaceae
Exons: 4
Source: RefSeq, a predicted model, not a curated record
GGGGAAAGUUCAACAUUUGGCAAAAUCAACUCAGGAUUUGCCAAAUUACACGCGGAAAAUAUCAUGGGAAUUUCACAUCUAUAAUCCCGAGUUGAAAUUCCAUGGUAAUAGGCGGAAUUGUACAAUUCCCAACAGAGAGGGAAUUUUCAUCUUCUGCCUGCAAUAACCUAGCUUCUGCCCGCCAAAAUUUUCAUCUUCUGCCCACCAAAAAUUUCAUCUUCUGCCUGCCAAAAUUUCAGGAAUAACCUAUCUUCUUCAAAGAGAACAAGCCUGCGCACCAUGGGUAUUCUCUUGAUGGCGUUCUGCUAAGUUUUCUGGUAAGAAAGACAGAGUGUAGAGACAUAUACAUACGCAAGGUCAAACUUUCUCACCUCCAUUCACCAAAUGCCUUUCUUCCUCAAGCGCCUCCGACUUUUCGAUGGCAGAAAAAGUAAACAAAAUAAAGCAGAGAAGAAGAAAAGACAAGCAAAAUAAUGACACUGAAGGAGAUGACAAAGCCUAUUUUCGAUGGAAUAUACAAAUGGAGCGUUCAUUAGCGGAUAUACUUAGAGAAGAACGUCAGAUCGGUCAUAAAGGAGAUGGUGGUUGGAAAGUAGUUGCUUAUAACACCGUUGCUGUCAUAUUGUCUGCACAAUUUGAUAUUGAAGUAAGUGCUGAUAACGUAAGAAAUCGUGUUAAAACCUAGAAAAGGUUUUAUGGUAUAGUCAAUGAUAUAUUAAGUCAGAAUGGAUUCAAUUGGGAUGUAACAAAGAAGAUGAUCAUUGUAGAUGAAGACAAUGUUUGGGAUGAGUAUGUGAAGUCUCAUGAAGGUGCUAAAACUUUUCGAUUUAAAGUGAUUGCUAACUAGGAUGAAAUAAUGAAUUUAUGUGGCAAAGAUAGAGCUACGGGAGAGGGUGCUGAAACAUGUGCAGAAGUUGCUGAGGUUAUGACUCCUAAGAGUGAUCCCAAUAAUAUUGUUGAUUUGGAAAGUGAUACUCAAGGUUUUGAGAGUUGUCAGGUUGAUGAUGUUUCACCCAGCUCUAGUUGUCCAAAGAGAAGAAAUCAAAAACCUUAUGAUAUUCCCCCACCAAAAAAAAGAGGUACAACUAAUGUUCUUGCUGAUUCAGUGGCUAAAAUGGCUUCAUCUUUGGAACACUUUAUCAAUUCUACUACACAAAAGCUUGAUCCAACAGAAGUAUAUAAUGAAGUCAUUGCAAUUCCAGAUCUUAGUCCAGAUGAACAACUGAAGGCAUGCUCUUGGUUUAUAGAAAAUGAGAAACAGUUUCUCAUGUUAAAGACAUUUCCAACUGAGAGAAAGAAGGGAAUGGUGUUUAUGUUUAUUUUACCAAAAGCGUAGACACAUUUUAUAUUUAGUUGACAUUUUUAAUUUUUGCUAUUUUGUUGAAACAUUGGUUGGG